This 993-nucleotide ribosomal RNA is filed under the name Triticum aestivum (bread wheat). Its description in RNAcentral is "partial small subunit ribosomal RNA". Lineage: Eukaryota; Viridiplantae; Streptophyta; Magnoliopsida; Poales; Poaceae. The record is from RNAcentral.
AUGGCGAGGCGGUCGGUGCAUCGGAGGCAGGAGUUCAGCUUCGCCGGGGAUUCGCCGACGCCGUCGUGGCGCGCGGAGGCCGGCGAGGGGCGCGCGCUGCCGCCGCGGCCGCCGGUUGUGGCGACGGCGAACCCGAUGGCGCCGCGCGCGGGGGAGGAGGACUUCCGCUGGCUGCAGGCGUCCAGGCAAGGCUCGCCGGAGUCCGGCUCCGGCUCCGGCACGCCGUCGCCGCAGCUCUGGGCGCACCGCGAACACCACCACGACCGGCUGUACCCGGCCUCCGCUGGGAGCUCCCCGUCGCGCGCGCAGGCCAUCGCCGGCUACCGCCGCGAGAUGCUCGACCUCGUCCGCGGCCUCCCCGAGGCCGCCUACGAGCUCUCUCUCCGCGACAUCGUCGAGUCCCGGCCCUCCCCGCUGCCUCCUCCUCCACCGCCACCUCCGGCUCAACCCUACGCCGUCGCUACGCAAGAACAAGGAAACGGCGAGCCCAAGAAGGACGUCACGGCGGCGGCCAUGAACGGCGACGAGGCCAAGAAACAGAGCGACGGCGGGGGCAAGAAACAGGGGAAGGCAAGAAAGCAGAGGACGAUGGGGAGGACGCGAAGCCGGAGCAUGGAGCGCAGCGUGAGCCUGGACACCGGCCUGCUCAUCAAGCUCUUCCUGCCGCUCUCCGUCGGCCGGAAGAAGAAGGUGUCGCCCAAGCCCGCCGCGGUCGCCCCCGCCAAGGACGGCAGGAAGAAGACCAAGAAGAAGAAGAAGAAGGAGGGGAAGAAGGAGGACGAGGAGGAGUGGUGGAAGAAGAGCGAGUUCAGCGAGGCGGGGAGCAGCAGCAGGACCAGCAGCAGCGGCAGCAGCAACAGCAGCGCCAGCAGGAACAAUGGAAAUGGCGGCAGCGAUCCAAAAGCUCCGUCCAGGAGCAGGAGCAGAAAGAGAAUCGGGUGCUAUGGUUUCUUCCGGGCAAACAAGGGCAAAAAUGGAGUUAUCCAGGAAUAA